This 494-nucleotide ribosomal RNA is filed under the name uncultured bacterium. RNAcentral describes it as "partial 16S ribosomal RNA". It matches the Rfam family "Bacterial small subunit ribosomal RNA", at positions 28 to 507 of the family's 1533-position model. The record is from RNAcentral.
GACGAACGCUGGCGGCGUGCUUAACACAUGCAAGUCGAACGGUGAAGCGCCGUCCUUUUUGGUUGGUGGGGAGGCGAGGGGAAGGGUAGAGUAAGAGGUGAGUAACCUUCCCCUUUCUAUUGGAUAACGGAACGAAAGCGUGGCUAAUACGGGAUAUCCUGGUGCUGUGGCAUGAUGGGACAGGGACGGAUGUUGUGUCGGGGGGGGAGGGGCUCGCGGCUUAUCAGCGUGUUGGUGGGGUGGUGGCCUACCAAGGCGGGGACGGGUAGCCGGCGUGAGAGGGUGGACGGUCACACUGGGACUGAGAGACGGCCCAGACUCCUACGGGAGGCAGCAGUGGGGAAUAUUGCACAAUGGGCGCAAGCCUGAUGCAGCGACGCCGCGUGAGGGAUGGAGGCCUGCGGGUUGUGAACCUCUUUCGCCAGUGAAGCAGGCCUGCCUCGUUUGUGGGUGGGUUGACGGUAGCUGGAUAAGAAGCGCCGGCUAACUACGUG